RNAcentral lists this long non-coding RNA (1976 nucleotides) under Lynx pardinus (Iberian lynx). The record is from RNAcentral. Lineage: Eukaryota; Metazoa; Chordata; Mammalia; Carnivora; Felidae.
GGAAAAGCGCCUGGUGUUUGUUCAGGUCAAACAGGUGCAGCAGCUUCCGUGGGAGGAGGUGAGGAAAAGUGUCCCUGGUCAGGAGGGUCACACUCCCACAGGCUUGCAGGGGGCGGCGGGGGGGGGGUGGUAGCCUCACCGAGGUCCGGAACUCAGGCCCCCCAGCUGGGGACAGGCCCUCAGGGAGGACUGGGAGAAGGAUGCUUACGACGGGAAUCAAGGCAGGUGCCUACACGCAUCCAUGUGGACACACAUGUGAAUGGUCUUUUUUUUUUUUUUUUUUAAGCUCAUGGAAAAAACCGGAUGGAAAUGUGAGUGAUUGUGUUUGCUUCAUAGAACUAUACUUGAACUUCUUAAAAUGUGAUUUGUUUUUUAAUGUUUAUUUAUUAAAAAAAUUUUUUUUAAAUGUUUAUUUUAUUUUUGAGAGGGAGACAGAGUGCGAGCCGGGGAGGGGCAGAGAGAGAGGGAGACACAGAGUCGGAAGCAGGCUCCAGGCUCCGAGCGGUCAGCACAGAGCCCGACGCGGGGCUCGAACCCAUGAACUGGGGGAUCAUGCCCUGAGCCGAAGUCAGACGCUCAACCGACUGAGCCACCCAGGCGGCCCAGAGCAUAUGUGGGUUUUUUAUUUUUUUUUAUUUUUUAUUUUUUUAAUUUUUUUUUCAACGUUUAUUUAUUUUUGGGACAGAGAGAGACAGAGCAUGAACGGGGGAGGGGCAGAGAGAGAGAGAGACACAGAAUCGGAAACAGGCUCCAGGCUCCGAGCCAUCAGCCCAGAGCCUGACGCGGGGCUCGAACUCACGGACCGCGAGAUCGUGACCCGGCUGAAGUCGGACGCUCAACCGACUGCGCCACCCAGGCGCCCCAUAUGUGGGUUUUUUAAACGGGAGAAAGCAGACGUGUUUGCAUGUCUGUUCAAUUCCCAGUCAAAGGUGUCUUUCCAGCCCUACCCUCCUAGUAUUUGACCCUAUUGGGUGAAUUCCUUUUCUGAAGCUGUUUUCUCGCUGGCCUUUCAGCCUGCCACUUCUCUCCUGGCUUUUCUUCCCGUCUUGGAUGACUGCCCACCCCCUACGGUUGAUGUUUUUCGGGGUCUGUCCCCACCGUUUCCAUCUCCCCUGCCCAGGCUGGUGCCCUCGCCGUGCGGUUUCAGCGAGACCGCCCUAUGUCAACAAUGACUUUCGUCUCCGGCCCAGCCCUUUGCCGACACAUUUCUCCCACUGCCUACUGACUGUCCCCACGAGUCCCUCAGAGUCAGCAUGCUUAAAGCUGAAAUUCCCUCCCCGCAAGCCCCUCUUUCUUCUGUGUUGUCUACCUUGGUGGCCUGGGUCAGAACCCUAGUACUUAUCCUUCCCUACCUUCUGGGAGUGGGUUGAAUGGUGCCCCCUCCCCCGAAAAGAGACGUCCAUGGCCCAGAACCUGUGACCGUUACCUUAUAUAGCUAGAGAGCACCGCCUUAUAUGACAAAAGAUGUGAUUAUCUUUUACCUUGGAUUAUCCAGGUGCCCCCUAAAUCCAGUGACAAGUGUCCUUAAGAGACGGACAGAGAACACACACUGAGGAGGUAUUGUGACCACGGAGGCAGAGAUUGGAGUGAAGCCACAAGUCGAGGAAUGCCAACAGCCACUGAAAGAACGGACUGUCUCCUACAGCCUCUGGGAGGAGCGUGGCCCUGCCCACACCACCUUGGGUUUGCACAUCUGAGGGCUUCCAGAACCUGAACUGUGAGAGAAUAACUUUCUGUUGCUUGAAGGCACCCGAUUCGCGUUCAUUUGUUAUGGCGGCCCUAGCAAAUAGGCCCUCAUUCUUUGGCAUCUAAUGGGUCACAAAAAUCCUGCUGGUUUCAACUCCUUAAGUAGCUCUAGUUUGGGGGGCGCCUGGGUGGCUCAGUGGGUUAAGCAUCUGAUUUCAUAUCGGGUCAUGAUCUCGCCGUUUGUGAGUUCGAGCCCCGCGUCGGGCUCGGUGCGGACAGCUCGGAGCCUG